Molecule: long non-coding RNA, 1097 nt
Organism: Chenopodium quinoa (quinoa)
Lineage: Eukaryota; Viridiplantae; Streptophyta; Magnoliopsida; Caryophyllales; Amaranthaceae
Exons: 2
Source: RefSeq, a predicted model, not a curated record
GGACUACCAUACUACAGAGAUGCGUUUGACCAUCAGCGCGAGGACCAGAUGAUUUGGCAGCCAUAUACUGAGGCGGUGAUGGAUCGACUUCCGGAGAUUUGUCGCUCAGACAUGCACAUUUGGCGUUCACGGGCACCUCUGAUAUGCUUUGACGUCGUUGAGUUCCACCUCCCAGACCGAGUCCUUCGUCAGUUCGGGUUAGACCAGCCGAUCCCACAGGAUGUAGACACGGACGUUGCUCUACACAGGAAGGAUCGAAGGGGACAGCGUAAUUGGGAGAUUCGGCAUUCGGACCAUGUACACGAGUGGAGUCGACGAGAGGCAUUAGUCGUCCAGGGAUACCCGUUCACUGGGACUUCUUCCCCGGCCAUGACAGAGUACAUGGCUUGGUACCGUCGCAUCACGAGACUGGUCAUUACUCCACCUUCGCAGGAGCGCCCCCCGAGUCAUUACCAGCCAGCUACCUCUGACCUCUUGCUUGUAUGAACUUCACUUCAUUUCAAUCUAGUUCUUACGUUUUUGAUUUCAUUUUACUAACAUUAAAACUACACUUAAAUGUAGGCACAUGCAUUUGCUGAUUUGCACGUCCAGCUAUCGGGAGCUACUGAGACCAUCUCCCACUUGCCACCAGAGACGGCUAUACCAUUUGCCAUACAGACGAUGCAGGGUUUUACAUCAUUUUGUGGCCAAACCUUGUCUAGGGUGGGGCAGUCACACCUUAUUCAGCAGCCUCGACCGUCCACGUCUUCAUCUUCUACUGUGCACACUAUGCCGAUCAGACCACCACCUCAUCGUGGAGGCCAUUCAGCACGUGCCUUCCGUCCACCGACUCCUUCUCAGCAUACUAUCAUGACAUCUCCUCCACUAGUGCAUCGCCAGUAUCAGAGAAACCGACGGCGUAGCAACACUACGUCUGGGGUUGGAGUUGGCCUGGAUGACAUUCCAGAGGAGACAGCUGCAUCAUCUUCAUCGUCACCUCAUGGGAAGAAGCAACGCCCGAGCUAAGUGUAUAUUUUGGAACUAAACUAAUUUUUUUGUAAAUGCUUAGAAUUGGAUUUUGUUAUAUUUAAUCAAUUGAAAAAUAUUCGACUUUGCAA